GUGGGGAAUAUUGGACAAUGGGCGAAAGCCUGAUCCAGCCAUGCCGCGUGUGUGAAGAAGGUCUUCGGAUUGUAAAGCACUUUAAGUUGGGAGGAAGGGUAGUAACCUAAUACGUUGCUACUUUGACGUUACCGACAGAAUAAGCACCGGCUAACUUCGUGCCAGCAGCCGCGGUAAUACGAAGGGUGCAAGCGUUAAUCGGAAUUACUGGGCGUAAAGCGCGCGUAGGUGGUUCAGUAAGUUGGAAGUGAAAUCCCCGGGCUCAACCUGGGAACUGCAUUCAAAACUGCUGAGCUAGAGUACGGUAGAGGGUGGUGGAAUUUCCUGUGUAGCGGUGAAAUGCGUAGAUAUAGGAAGGAACACCAGUGGCGAAGGCGACCACCUGGACUGAUACUGACACUGAGGUGCGAAAGCGUGGGGAGCAAACAGGAUUAGAAACCCUUGUAGUCC
Molecule: ribosomal RNA, 450 nt
Filed under: uncultured bacterium
Lineage: Bacteria
Description: partial 16S ribosomal RNA
Rfam family: Bacterial small subunit ribosomal RNA
Source: RNAcentral